RNAcentral lists this ribosomal RNA (497 nucleotides) under uncultured bacterium. RNAcentral's name for it is "partial 16S ribosomal RNA". It matches the Rfam family "Bacterial small subunit ribosomal RNA", at positions 28 to 507 of the family's 1533-position model. The record is from RNAcentral.
GAUGAACGCUGGCGGCGUGCCUAAUACAUGCAAGUCGAGCGAACAGACGAGGAGCUUGCUCCUCUGACGUUAGCGGCGGACGGGUGAGUAACACGUGGAUAACCUACCUAUAAGACUGGGAUAACUUCGGGAAACCGGAGCUCAUACCGGAUAACAUGUUGAACCGCAUGGUUCAACAGUGAAAGACGGUCUUGCUGUCACUUAUAGAUGGAUCCGCGCCGCAUUAGCUAGUUGGUAAGGUAACGGCUUACCAAGGCAACGAUGCGUAGCCGACCUGAGAGGGUGAUCGGCCACACUGGAACUGAGACACGGUCCAGACUCCUACGGGAGGCAGCAGUAGGGAAUCUUCCGCAAUGGGCGAAAGCCUGACGGAGCAACGCCGCGUGAGUGAAGAAGGUCUUCGGAUCGUAAAACUCUGUUAUUAGGGAAGAACAAAUGUGUAAGUAACUAUGCACGUCUUGACGGUACCUAAUCAGAAAGCCACGGCUAACUACGUG